This 257-nucleotide long non-coding RNA is filed under the name Setaria viridis. Its description in RNAcentral is "long non-coding RNA (SVIR_LNC005682)". The record is from RNAcentral. Lineage: Eukaryota; Viridiplantae; Streptophyta; Magnoliopsida; Poales; Poaceae.
UUUGACAUCUCCAUGUCCAUGACUUGUGAAACAUAGUCAUCAACUAAUACAUGUACUAGCCUAAUAUUCAUGUGUGUCCACACAUGAACUCCAACUAGGGACAACUUUUAGAAUAAUAAAGAGUUCCACAUACAAUUCACAUAAUUGCAUAUCAAUUCAAGUAGCCUUUAAUGGAUAUUCAAUGAACACAAUAUACAAAUCAUGGAUACAAUUAGAUAUCAUCAUCUCUAUGAUUGCCUCUAGGGCAUACCUCCAAC